UCCCCAAUAGCUCAGUGGUAGAGCGUUCGGCUGUUAACCGAUUCGUCGUAGGUUCAAAUCCUACUUGGGGAG
This 72-nucleotide transfer RNA is filed under the name Welwitschia mirabilis. RNAcentral describes it as "tRNA-Asn". It matches the Rfam family "tRNA". From Rfam's summary of the family: Transfer RNA (tRNA) molecules are approximately 80 nucleotides in length. Their secondary structure includes four short double-helical elements and three loops (D, anti-codon, and T loops). Further hydrogen bonds mediate the characteristic L-shaped molecular structure. tRNAs have two regions of fundamental functional importance: the anti-codon, which is responsible for specific mRNA codon recognition, and the 3' end, to which the tRNAs corresponding amino acid is attached (by aminoacyl-tRNA synthetases). tRNAs cope with the degeneracy of the genetic code in two manners: having more than one tRNA (with a specific anti-codon) for a particular amino acid; and 'wobble' base-pairing, i.e. permitting non-standard base-pairing at the 3rd anti-codon position. Lineage: Eukaryota; Viridiplantae; Streptophyta; Gnetopsida; Welwitschiales; Welwitschiaceae. The record is from RNAcentral.